This 212-nucleotide long non-coding RNA is filed under the name Lathyrus oleraceus (garden pea). RNAcentral's name for it is "Pisum sativum (pea) long non-coding RNA (PSAT_LNC004385)". The record is from RNAcentral. Lineage: Eukaryota; Viridiplantae; Streptophyta; Magnoliopsida; Fabales; Fabaceae.
UUGAGCUUCCUUGGUUGGCACUUCCAUUUUUAUGGACAAGAGUUCCACUUAUGUGGAUGUCAUCUACCUACGAUACUUCAAGGACUUUGAGUGGACCCAUGAGUACAAAUGAGGGCCACUUGUUUGGUCUACUUGCACUCUAAGUUAUCCAAGGGAUAUUGGUGGAAGACGAAGUAGGUGACAAGCAACAUCACACUUUGACGGUAGUAUUU